GUGUAAUCAAUUUAUAUUUUAUUUAGAAGGUCGACAGAAAAAUAUACUAUACCAAGUUGCAAGGUAUUGUGCAAAAUAAAUUCUACAGUUGUAUGUUUUUUUGUAAAUGGCAUUCAGUCGUGCAUGGUACCACUUCAAACGCAAUUUUAUAUCUGUAACAUUUCCUAUUCUCUCAAUUUCUUCAAUCUACGCUGAUUACAAUCGGACAUUAAAUUGGAAAAAAAUACAAAAUCAAAAAGUUUAAAAAAUAGCUUACAAUGGCAGCCAAGCAUGCAUUAUUUGGAUUAACCUGGGAAUAUUUCGUAUUGGCUAUCCCACUUACAACUGGUGCCUUAUUUGGAAAAUUCUUAGAUGACAAAGAAACAGAAAGGAUGACACUAUUUAGAGAUAGAAGUGCUUUAUAUGGAGGAAUGGUGAAGAAAGGUGAAAAACCUUCUUGGCCAUAAAUGUAUUAAACUUAAGAUGGUACUAAUAGUUUGAAUUAACUUUAAUGUUGUUUUAAAUGUAAUAAUAAAUUAAACCAUGUAAACAAUUCUUUUUUUUUUUAGAUAUUAUAGCUAUAUAAAAUAAACCGUGAACUAAAUACACAGUAUAAUAGUUAUGAUAACAAAAUUCAUAACACACUUUUGUUAAUGUAUUUCCAAAAUGUGAUCAAGAACUUUGUUUAUUUCACUUAUUAAUAAAGAAAUAUAUGUACCUACCAACAAUU
Long non-coding RNA from Rhopalosiphum padi (bird cherry-oat aphid), 709 nucleotides. RefSeq lists it as uncharacterized. NCBI's taxonomy places the organism in Eukaryota, Metazoa, Arthropoda, Insecta, Hemiptera, Aphididae. The transcript is spliced from 3 exons. The record is from RefSeq and is a predicted model, not a curated record.